Solanum stenotomum is the source of this 447-nucleotide long non-coding RNA. RefSeq lists it as uncharacterized. The record is from RefSeq and is a predicted model, not a curated record. Lineage: Eukaryota; Viridiplantae; Streptophyta; Magnoliopsida; Solanales; Solanaceae. The transcript is spliced from 4 exons.
CUUAGCUCUAGUGGAAAAAGGUGGAGGAUUUGUGGCUUAGGUCGCAGGUACAAGCCCCACACCAUGCAAACCGAAGCCUGGUAUUUAAGUGGAGCCCAAGGCUUAGCUCUAGUGGAAAAAGGUGGAGGAUUUGUGGCUUAGGUCGCAGGUUCAAGCCCCACACCAUGCAAAGCGAAGCCCGAUAUUUAAGUGGAGCCUAAGGCUUAGCUCUAGUGGAAAAAGGUGGAGGAUUUGUAGCUUAGGUCGCAGGUUCAAGCCCCACACCAUGCAAAGCGAAGCCCGGUAUUUAAGUGGAUCCCAAGGCUUAGCUCUAGUGGUAAAAGGUGGAGGAUUUGUGGCUUAGGUCGCAGGUUCAAGCCCCACACCAUGCAAAGCGAUGCCCGGUAUUUAAGUGGACCCUAAGGCUUAGCUCUAGUGGAAAAAGGUGGAGGAUUUGUUGCUUAGGUC